RNAcentral lists this ribosomal RNA (264 nucleotides) under uncultured bacterium. Its description in RNAcentral is "partial 16S ribosomal RNA". It matches the Rfam family "Bacterial small subunit ribosomal RNA", at positions 28 to 301 of the family's 1533-position model. The record is from RNAcentral.
GAUGAACGUUGGCGGCGUGCCUAACACAUGCAAGUCGAACGGCGAUAGCAAUAUCGGAGUGGCGCACGGGUGAGUAACACGUAGCUUACCUGGCUCAAAGCGCGGGAUAACGUUCCGAAAGGGAUGCUAAUACCGCAUAAGCUCACGGACUAUAGAGGUUGGUGAGAAAAGAGGCAACUCACUUUGAGAUGGGGCUGCGACCCAUCAGCUAGUUGGUGAGGAAGGGCUUACCAAGGCAACGACGGGUAGGGGACCUGAGAGGGU